This 492-nucleotide ribosomal RNA is filed under the name uncultured bacterium. RNAcentral's name for it is "partial 16S ribosomal RNA". It matches the Rfam family "Bacterial small subunit ribosomal RNA", at positions 29 to 507 of the family's 1533-position model. The record is from RNAcentral.
AGUGAACGCUGGCGGUAGGCCUAACACAUGCAAGUCGAACGGCAGCACAGUAAGAGCUUGCUCUUACGGGUGGCGAGUGGCGGACGGGUGAGGAAUACAUCGGAAUCUACUUUUUCGUGGGGGAUAACGUAGGGAAACUUACGCUAAUACCGCAUACGACCUACGGGUGAAAGCAGGGGAUAUUCGGACCUUGCGCGAAUGAAUGAGCCGCUGUCGGACUAGCUAGUGGGCGGGGUAAAGGCCAACCAAGCGGACGAUCCGUAGCUGGUCUGAGAGGAUGGUCGGCCACACUGGAACUGAGACACGGUCCAUGCUCCUACGGGAGGGAGCAGUGGGGAAUAUUGGACAAUGGGCGCAAGCCUUAUCCAGCCAUACCGCGUCGGUGAAGGAGGCCUUCGGGUUGUAAAGCCCGUUUGUUGGGUAAGAAAAGCAUCAGGUUAAUACGCCGCUGUUCUGACGGUACCCAAAGAAUAAGCACCGGCUAACUUCGUG